Molecule: ribosomal RNA, 1346 nt
Filed under: uncultured bacterium
Lineage: Bacteria
Description: partial 16S ribosomal RNA
Rfam family: Bacterial small subunit ribosomal RNA
Source: RNAcentral
GACGAACGCUGGCGGCGUGCUUAACACAUGCAAGUCGAACGGAAAGGCCCUGCUUUUGUGGGGUGCUCGAGUGGCGAACGGGUGAGUAACACGUGAGUAACCUGCCCUUGACUUUGGGAUAACUUCAGGAAACUGGGGCUAAUACCGGAUAGGAGCUCCUGCUGCAUGGUGGGGGUUGGAAAGUUUCGGCGGUUGGGGAUGGACUCGCGGCUUAUCAGCUUGUUGGUGGGGUAGUGGCUUACCAAGGCUUUGACGGGUAGCCGGCCUGAGAGGGUGACCGGCCACAUUGGGACUGAGAUACGGCCCAGACUCCUACGGGAGGCAGCAGUAGGGAAUAUUGCACAAUGGGCGGAAGCCUGAUGCAGCAACGCCGCGUGCGGGAUGACGGCCUUCGGGUUGUAAACCGCUUUCGCCUGUGACGAAGCGUGAGUGACGGUAAUGGGUAAAGAAGCACCGGCUAACUACGUGCCAGCAGCCGCGGUGAUGCGUAGGGUGCGAGCGUUGUCCGGAUUUAUUGGGCGUAAAGGGCUCGUAGGUGGUUGAUCGCGUCGGAAGUGUAAUCUUGGGGCUUAACCCUGAGCGUGCUUUCGAUACGGGUUGACUUGAGGAAGGUAGGGGAGAAUGGAAUUCCUGGUGGAGCGGUGGAAUGCGCAGAUAUCAGGAGGAACACCAGUGGCGAAGGCGGUUCUCUGGGCCUUUCCUGACGCUGAGGAGCGAAAGCGUGGGGAGCGAACAGGCUUAGAUACCCUGGUAGUCCACGCUGUAAACGGUGGGUACUAGGUGUGGGGUCCAUUCCACGGGUUCCGUGCCGUAGCUAACGCUUUAAGUACCCCGCCUGGGGAGUACGGCCGCAAGGCUAAAACUCAAAGGAAUUGACGGGGCCCCGCACAAGCGGCGGAGCAUGCGGAUUAAUUCGAUGCAACGCGUAGAACCUUACCUGGGUUUGACAUGGAUCGGGAGUGCUCAGAGAUGGGUGUGCCUCUUUUGGGGUCGGUUCACAGGUGGUGCAUGGCUGUCGUCAGCUCGUGUCGUGAGAUGUUGGGUUAAGUCCCGCAACGAGCGCAACCCUUGUUCACUGUUGCCAGCACGUUAUGGUGGGGACUCAGUGGAGACCGCCGGGGUCAACUCGGAGGAAGGUGGGGAUGACGUCAAGUCAUCAUGCCCCUUAUGUCCAGGGCUUCACGCAUGCUACAAUGGCUGGUACAGAGAGUGGCGAGCCUGUGAGGGUGAGCGAAUCUCGGAAAGCCGGUCUCAGUUCGGAUUGGGGUCUGCAACUCGACCUCAUGAAGUCGGAGUCGCUAGUAAUCGCAGAUCAGCAACGCUGCGGUGAAUACGUUCCCGGGGCU